RNAcentral lists this ribosomal RNA (433 nucleotides) under uncultured bacterium. RNAcentral's name for it is "bacterial SSU rRNA". It matches the Rfam family "Bacterial small subunit ribosomal RNA", at positions 594 to 1024 of the family's 1533-position model. The record is from RNAcentral.
GUGAAAACUCACAGCUUAACUGUGGGCGUGCGGGCGAUACGGGCAGACUAGAGUACUGCAGGGGAGACUGGAAUUCCUGGUGUAGCGGUGGAAUGCGCAGAUAUCAGGAGGAACAUCGGUGGCGAAGGCGGGUCUCUGGGCAGUAACUGACGCUGAGGAGCGAAAGCGUGGGGAGCGAACAGGAUUAGAUACCCUGGUAGUCCACGCCGUAAACGGUGGGUACUAGGUGUGGGUUUCCUUCCUUGGGAUCCGUGCCGUAGCUAACGCAUUAAGUACCCCGCCUGGGGAGUACGGCCGCAAGGCUAAAACUCAAAGGAAUUGACGGGGGCCCGCACAAGCGGCGGAGCAUGUGGAUUAAUUCGAUGCAACGCGAAGAACCUUACCUGGGUUUGACAUGCACAGGACGCCGGCAGAGAUGUCGGUUCCCUUGUGG